Molecule: unclassified non-coding RNA, 1248 nt
Filed under: Pocillopora damicornis (cauliflower coral)
Lineage: Eukaryota; Metazoa; Cnidaria; Anthozoa; Scleractinia; Pocilloporidae
Description: alcohol dehydrogenase class-3-like, transcript variant X1
Source: RNAcentral
CUUGGCUUUGUCUCGUGAGAGUAUUCGAUUGCUUCAUUCGCUGGCGUAUAAGAAGCCAUCAGUUUCUGUGGAAGACCAAUUUUGUGUUUUCGCGGGAAAAGAAUGUCUGGGACGGAAGGAAAGUCUAUAUCAUGUCUUGCAGCUGUAGCUUGGGAACCUAAGAAGCCACUUGUGAUAGAAACUGUUGAGGUGGCACCUCCUAAGGCUAGAGAGGUGCGCAUUAAAAUCCUUGCAACUGGGGUCUGUCAUACAGACAGUUACACACUGGGUGGACAUGACUCAGAGGGUGUCUUUCCUUCUGUUCUUGGCCAUGAAGGAGGUGGUAUUGUUGAAAGUGUUGGUGAAGGAGUCACAAGAGUCAAGCCUGGUGAUCAUGUUAUUCCUCUUUACAUACCUCAGUGUGGUGAGUGCAAGUUUUGCCAAAGUCCAAAGACAAAUCUUUGCAGCACAAUUCGAACAACUCAGGGUAAAGGUGUAAUGCCUGAUGGUACAUCACGAUUUUCAUGCAAAGGCCAGACCUUGUAUCACUUUAUGGGUACUAGCACAUUUAGUGAGUACACAGUUGUGGCUGAAAUAUCAGUAGCAAAGGUUGCUGACAAUGCUCCCCUUGAGAAAGUGUGUCUCCUUGGGUGUGGAAUUUCAACUGGAUAUGGUGCAGCUUUAAACACUGCAAAGGUGGAGCCUGGAUCUACUACAGCUAUUUGGGGACUGGGAGCUGUUGGUCUGGCUGUGGCAAUGGGCUGUAAAGCAGCAGGAGCUUCAAGGAUAAUUGGAAUUGAUUUAAAUCCCAAAAAAUUUACUACAGCCAAAGAGUUUGGCUGUACCGAGUUUGUCAAUCCCAAGGAUCACAACAAGCCUAUUCAACAGGUUUUGAUAGAGAUGACAGAUGGAGGCCUGGACUACACCUUUGAAUGUGUUGGGAAUGUUGGAACUAUGGCUGGAAGAGCUGUGACAGUGUUCCAAAACUUGUGGAUGAAUAUAUGGCUCGCAAGUUAAAGGUGGAUGAGUUUAUCACCCAUACGCUACCAUUGGACAAGAUCAACGAGGCGUUUGACCUUAUGCAUGAUGGGAAAAGCAUUCGAGCAAUCGUUAACUUUUGAGUAUGGCGUCUUUUCCAAGAACACUUCUGCAGGGAGAAGUCAUGACUGAUUUGAUAAACAAUAAACUGAGAUUUUCCCUCCGUCAAUGCCUACUUUAUAUUUCAGUGCCUAAACUUAUAUAUAAACCAACGUGUGUAGAAUUUCAACA